UGAUAUUAAUGCGAGUUAUGAUGUGGUAAAUAAUCCUUGUGGUUAGUAUAUUGCACGUGCUUGUGUUAUUUAUGUCAAAUAUGUCGGCGUGCCCUUCGAUCUAUGGCCUGAUUGGUAGCCUUUGAUUUCUGCUUGCAGUUAAUUGGAGACCAUUAGUGUCCUGAUCAUCUGUUUGACGGUAUUCAAAUGGUAUUAAGUCGCAAUUUUUUUUGCGUUAAGUCUGUCACAAGUGAGGUUAAUAAUUAGCAGUACAGAUCUAAUGCUGUCGUUAACGUUAACCAACUGUUAGUAGACCAGUGUUCUUUAACUGACUUAUUACCGGUCAGCRACGCUACUGCUUUGGGUACUUUCAGGACCCGUCUUGAAACACGGACCAAGGAGUCUAACAUGUACGCAAGUCAUUGGGAUUUUUUUAAAACAAACCUAAAGGCGUAAUGAAAGUGAAGAUUGUCGUAUGACAAUUGAGGGAAGAUGGGUUACAUCAUGAUGUAAUCUCGCAUUCCCGGGGG
This 509-nucleotide ribosomal RNA is filed under the name Austroascogaster sp. RK424. Its description in RNAcentral is "eukaryotic LSU rRNA". It matches the Rfam family "Eukaryotic large subunit ribosomal RNA", at positions 432 to 767 of the family's 3401-position model. The record is from RNAcentral. Lineage: Eukaryota; Metazoa; Arthropoda; Insecta; Hymenoptera; Braconidae.